GCCUUCGUGGUGUAAUGGUCAGCACACUGAGCCGGUAAUUCAGAGGUCCUCGGUUCGAUCCCCGGCGAAGGCA
This 73-nucleotide transfer RNA is filed under the name Stegodyphus mimosarum. It matches the Rfam family "tRNA". From Rfam's summary of the family: Transfer RNA (tRNA) molecules are approximately 80 nucleotides in length. Their secondary structure includes four short double-helical elements and three loops (D, anti-codon, and T loops). The record is from Rfam by way of RNAcentral. Lineage: Eukaryota; Metazoa; Arthropoda; Arachnida; Araneae; Eresidae.